This 36-nucleotide unclassified non-coding RNA is filed under the name Sorangium cellulosum So ce56. Its description in RNAcentral is "sce_HCV_SLIV_2". Lineage: Bacteria; Pseudomonadati; Myxococcota; Polyangiales; Polyangiaceae. The record is from RNAcentral.
CGGCGAGCGGGAGAACCGCUCAGGAAUCGUUCAGGA